AGCGAACGCUGGCGGCAUGCCUAUCACAUGCAAGUCGCACGGGGGGGCUUCGGCCUCCCAGUGGCGGACGGGUGAGGAACGCGUAGGGACCUGUCGAGGGGUGGGGGAUAACCGCGGGAAACUGCGGCUAAUACCGCAUGACGCCGCGGCGUGACAGCCGGGGCCAAAGGCGAAAGCCGCCCGCCGAGGGGCCUGCGUCCGAUUAGCUGGUUGGCGGGGUAGCGGCCCACCAAGGCGUCGAUCGGUAGCUGGUCUGAGAGGGUGAUCAGCCACACCGGGACUGAGACACGGCCCGGACUCCUACGGGAGGCAGCAGUGGGGAAUAUUGGACAAUGGGCGCAAGCCUGAUCCAGCAAUGCCGCGUGGGUGAAGAAGGUCUUCGGAUUGUAAAGCCCUUUCGGCGGGGACGAUGGUGACGGUACCCGCAGAAGAAGCCCCGGCUAACUUCGUG
RNAcentral lists this ribosomal RNA (451 nucleotides) under uncultured bacterium. RNAcentral describes it as "partial 16S ribosomal RNA". It matches the Rfam family "Bacterial small subunit ribosomal RNA", at positions 28 to 507 of the family's 1533-position model. The record is from RNAcentral.